AAAUUGAAGAGUUUGAUCAUGGCUCAGAUUGAACGCUGGCGGCAGGCCUAACACAUGCAAGUCGAACGGUAACAGAAAGAAGCUUGCUUCUUUGCUGACGAGUGGCGGACGGGUGAGUAAUGUCUGGGAAACUGCCUGAUGGAGGGGGAUAACUACUGGAAACGGUAGCUAAUACCGCAUAACGUCGCAAGACCAAAGAGGGGGACCUUCGGGCCUCUUGCCAUCGGAUGUGCCCAGAUGGGAUUAGCUAGUAGGUGGGGUAACGGCUCACCUAGGCGACGAUCCCUAGCUGGUCUGAGAGGAUGACCAGCCACACUGGAACUGAGACACGGUCCAGACUCCUACGGGAGGCAGCAGUGGGGAAUAUUGCACAAUGGGCGCAAGCCUGAUGCAGCCAUGCCGCGUGUAUGAAGAAGGCCUUCGGGUUGUAAAGUACUUUCAGCGGGGAGGAAGGGAGUAAAGUUAAUACCUUUGCUCAUUGACGUUACCCGCAGAAGAAGCACCGGCUAACUCCGUGCCAGCAGCC
RNAcentral lists this ribosomal RNA (526 nucleotides) under Escherichia coli. Its description in RNAcentral is "bacterial SSU rRNA". It matches the Rfam family "Bacterial small subunit ribosomal RNA", at positions 1 to 516 of the family's 1533-position model. The record is from RNAcentral. Lineage: Bacteria; Pseudomonadati; Pseudomonadota; Gammaproteobacteria; Enterobacterales; Enterobacteriaceae.